CAGUAUUGUGCUAAAUGUCUCUUAACUGCUUGUUUUAAUAAGUCAAUUGGUUAAUACCUAGCAUACAUCAUAUUUUCAGUGUGGUGAAGAUAGUCCAACUUGCAGUGCAUUGAACAUGCAUUUCUUCUGCCAGUAUGUAAACACAAAGUUUCACAAAGUCAUUUAGUCUUUGAGUAUCCCCACUUUAAAGAGGAGCUGUCACUUCUCAUUUUAUUCACAAUUGAAUAAAAC
Pelobates cultripes (western spadefoot toad) is the source of this 231-nucleotide non-coding RNA. Lineage: Eukaryota; Metazoa; Chordata; Amphibia; Anura; Pelobatidae. The record is from the annotation of a GenBank genome assembly.